Molecule: ribosomal RNA, 667 nt
Filed under: Bacillus sp. (in: firmicutes)
Lineage: Bacteria; Bacillati; Bacillota; Bacilli; Caryophanales; Bacillaceae
Description: bacterial SSU rRNA
Rfam family: Bacterial small subunit ribosomal RNA
Source: RNAcentral
UUGCUUCUAUGACGUUAGCGGCGGACGGGUGAGUAACACGUGGGCAACCUGCCUGUAAGACUGGGAUAACUUCGGGAAACCGAAGCUAAUACCGGAUAGGAUCUUCUCCUUCAUGGGAGAUGAUUGAAAGAUGGUUUCGGCUAUCACUUACAGAUGGGCCCGCGGUGCAUUAGCUAGUUGGUGAGGUAACGGCUCACCAAGGCAACGAUGCAUAGCCGACCUGAGAGGGUGAUCGGCCACACUGGGACUGAGACACGGCCCAGACUCCUACGGGAGGCAGCAGUAGGGAAUCUUCCGCAAUGGACGAAAGUCUGACGGAGCAACGCCGCGUGAGUGAUGAAGGCUUUCGGGUCGUAAAACUCUGUUGUUAGGGAAGAACAAGUACAAGAGUAACUGCUCGUACCUUGACGGUACCUAACCAGAAAGCCACGGCUAACUACGUGCCAGCAGCCGCGGUAAUACGUAGGUGGCAAGCGUUAUCCGGAAUUAUUGGGCGUAAAGCGCGCGCAGGCGGUUUCUUAAGUCUGAUGUGAAAGCCCACGGCUCAACCGUGGAGGGUCAUUGGAAACUGGGGAACUUGAGUGCAGAAGAGAAAAGCGGAAUUCCACGUGUAGCGGUGAAAUGCGUAGAGAUGUGGAGGAACACCAGUGGCGAAGGCGGCUUUUUU